GGCACAUCUGCUCGAUAACACAGAGAGGCUGGAAAGGUCAUCUCGGAGACUAGAGGCUGGAUACCAAAUAGCAGUGGAAACCGAAAUAAGGAAGGAGAAAAGCCCAGAACUUCUGUCCCCAAGUGAGACAUAAAAGCAGAUGAUUGAAAAAUGCCAUUCUCAUUUCAGUGUAGAAUGAGAAUGAUAUUAUUUAGACGUUAUUUCUUCAUCUAGUUUAAAUCGCAUCAUAGUGUUUUGUGCUAAUGACUUUACUACCCUGUUUAUGUGAAUCCUUCUACUGAUUUUGUGGCUUUGUUUUCCAUAUUGCUAACUCUUCCAAUAUCUCUACUUUCCAGUAUGAGCUGUCUAUCACUUUGUUUUUCUGCCGUUUGCUAAUACUUCACUCACAUUACUUCACUAGCUCGAAAAAUGUAAACAUUGUUUUAUAUGAAACUUUAUACUCUUGGCCUAAUCACCACAAUUGUAAUAAACACUCAUGAUUGUAAACAGUGGCGUGGCAGUUAUUGGCAGAGCGUAAAUAUAUGUUGAAUUCCAAGUGUGUGGGGCUGCAUGCAUUGAAGUGCAUGCUGGGGAAGUUGGCUGUUUUGCUUGUAUGUUAGCAAAAAGAUUUGCAAGAGCAUGUUUCCAUGAGUUUGUACUGAGGUCAAGUUCAGUGCAAUGAUAUCUGAAUAUAGGUAUUAUGUGUACCUAAGUGUUGUGGUUUGCAUUUUUAUGAAAUGAGUCACAUGGUUUACGCUGUUUGUCAUGCAAAGAUUAACUUUGGUGCAAAGGCUGUCCCUUACAUCAGCUUGGCUGGUUUCUGCUGCAGUGAGCUUUUCCAUAUUUUUAUAGCCUCUGUGACUAUAAACAUAAAGAUUUUGGAGAGUGUUUAUGUAUUUGGGGAUUUAGUUCCUGUUUAGCUCUUUUGUAGAUUCUAGACAAGCAAGUGUUUAGUAUACUUGAAACACGCAAACCAAUUAGAUGAAGAGGGUGUUUCAGUCUUUAUUGUAUUAUUUGCAUAGAUGCAGUAACUUUUGAUUUUAUUCUGUGUCUUGAAAAUACUACUGAUUUUUAUAAUUGAGUUUUGUAAGAUUUCUAUGCGUUGAAUGUCUUGGCUCUUCUACAAUAAUUGAUUGGAAUGCCAUCUUGAGAAAUUUCAUCCCAAGGACUGAUUAUAUUUGCUUUACUGCCUAUGUAAUUACUUUUGUCAUUUUAGCAAUUUCUGCAGUAGUGAAAUAAUAUCAAGUGGAGAAGUGUUAAGACUGAACUUUAGAUAUCAUUAAAUAUAUUUUAAUCAUUUUCCUUUUAGAAAAAGAGCUUUUUAAAUUUUAUGAUGAGGAUCUGUUUUAAACAAUGUAGGAAAUAUAGUAUUUUCUUAAAUUAAUUAAAAAUGAUGAAUCAGGCUUUCCCAAGUGUUAAUGACCAAGUGAAGAGUCUUUUAAUUGUGUAUAUACUGAAAUAUUCUGCGCAGUAAAAAUUCGAACAUCAUAAGCUUUAGAAAUUUCUCACAAUGUCAUGUGCUGGAAUAAAUUAAAUGUGUAGUCUAUAUGUUUGUAAAGAUUGGUGCUUAUUAUUUUACGUUGUUCUCCUCGUAGAUACAGUUAAGUUAAGAAUCACAUAAUUCCUAAAGAACUUUAAAAACUUUAAUAUUUGUAACAAACAAACCCUUUUAUUCACCUCCAAUGCUUUGACUUAGCUCACUUGCACCUUUUUGUCCAGGACAUAUUCUGGUAACAGAAGAAUUCACUUUACUGAAUAUUUGCCAUGUAAACUUAUGAAAACAAAGACUGAUCUGAUAUGGGCAGGUAAAAUAUUGAAUUAGUAGUGAGCAUACCUCUGUCCUGUUAUGAUGAAUCAGUAUUUGCUCAACUACUCAGUUACUGUUCCCAAAAAGCAAAUGGCCUGUGUUUUUAUUCCUGAAUACACCACAGACCUGAAGCUUGAGUAUUAACAGUUUGAGUUCUGUACAACUUGGAGGCUAUUGGUCUUUUUGUUACAGCUUCUUCAAAUGCAAAAUAGCAGUUUCUGCCUUGUGUGAUGGUGAUCAUGGAAAGUUCUUAAACUGCUAAGUUUUUCAAAUGCUCUGAAUACUGUGAUUAUUGUCCUUGUUAACUAUUUUAAAUGCUUGCCAGUAAUGCAUGUUAUUCCUUGCUUGUGCUUUAAAUUGAGUAUCUCCAUACAAAUAAAAUUCUUUAAUAAUCCAAUAUGUAACUUCUUCAUUCUGAGAAAUUACAUUACUGACGAUUUGUUAUAAUGAUGUAUCUAUCUGCAAAAAUACCUGAAUGAGCUUUGCAUUUCCUGUAGCUUAUUUUCUUCCCAACCACUUACUAAGAGUAAACCCCAAGCUUCCUUGAUAGUUGUCUCAACCAAAAUAUCAAGAGAGAAAUGGCUCACUUCACUUUUCCUUUAGAGGUGAGAUGGCUUGAUUUACAAAGUACAAAUUAGAAGAAAAACAACAGGAAUCUGACACGUUAAAGUCAGAAGUAUUUAUCUUGAUUUUGCUGGAAAUCACGUUUGAAAAUAUGGGCCGUGAGAAGAAUCUCUGGUAAAAAGUAAAAGGUCCAGUACUGUAUUUAGGUACUACUUUUAUGAGGAUUAUUUUACUUAUGUUAUGCGCUUCUAUGUAAUUGAGUCUCAGCAAUGACUGCUGUGUGUUUUGGAGAUGAUAAAAUCUAGAACUGAACAUAAAUUUAUGAACUUGUGGGUUAACAUAAGGUGUAGUGUUGAAAACCUGUUAAAAAAAAAACGAGGCUAGUAGGUUCUAUUCUUAACUUUUUAUGCUUUUGAAUUUUUGUAUUGUGUCAAAUACAGUGCUUUCUUAUCUCCAAAGAUUAAAUGUGCCCAUUUUGCCUAUGUAAUAUUUAUAUAUGGACAGGAAAUAGAAGUCAGUAUCCAGAUUUGUUGACCCCUGAGAUAUAAUAUUGACCUCAGUGAGUAUUAACUUCUCAGAUCAAUAAAUGCUGUUAUUGACCUCAAAGAAAAAUCAAUAGCAGCUUGUUAAUUUGCAAACUAUGACUGCAAGAAAAUGGUACACAUUUUGUUCUUCAUUAUCACGUAUUUAUAUCUAUAUUUUAACGCCUUCAGUAUUUCUACCUUGAGAUCAUCGUGUCAAAACAUUUCAAUUCUGGCUGUUAGAAGCUUGAGGAGAGAGGCAUUGUACAUUAUAGAAUAAUUGAUGAGUAGUACGUGUUAUUUCCCAUAUCUCAUAAAAAUAGCGCCCUGAACAGUUGUAUAUCACCUGUGUUGUUUUCAUUUUUUGGGUAGUCCAUUUCAUUUUCUCUGGUGAGCUUCAUCAAAACAUUGCAUAAAAGUACUAUAUUUUAGCUGCCAAAAAACAUUUCUACAUGAAUAAUAAGGGGGAUGAAAGACUGACUACUGGAAACAAGGAGACUGAAAGUGAUCACUGUAAAAAUCAUAAUUAAUAUACAGUAGAUUUUUUUCCUAUUUGCAUGAAGAUGACAGGUUUCUAGGCAAGAUUAUGCUCUUCAGCAACUUGAAGUUAUAACUCUGUGACUAUAUUUAAAAAAAGAAAGUUUUAAAUGACAAAGUAUUGGUGGAGAGGUGUUAUUUGUAUUAUAGCAGGUUUUGUAUAUAAACACUGAAAUGUCAGGUUUUACAUAGUUUGAAAUGUCUAAAAAAUGCCUAUUGCUGAAAUUCAAAUGUCAUAACAGUUCCUCUGCAUAUAUAUCACUUUGAUAUUUAAACUUAAAAACCUCAUAAAUGAUUUAAUAUUACUUUGGCCUUGUUAUGAUCUGACUGCCAAAAAAGGCAGAGGCUGAUUGUUAUCUGGUCUGGAGAGUGGUGUUUUCAUUCACAGAAGACAAAGCACAAGUCUGUCAGCCUUUUACAGUCAUUAAUUCUGUCUGAUACAUCUGCAGUGAUCUUGGCAAACUGAUUGCUAUGUUUAAAAAACUUUCAUUAAGUGACAGAGUGAGAGGUAUUCAAAUGCAAAAAUAAAACACUGGUUUUAUUUUUACAAACUGAAGUGGCUGCAGGUUUGUUUUUUGGUUUUUUGGGUUUUUUUUGCCAGCUUGAUGGCAAUACAAUUUUGUUCUUUAGUUCCAUGAGCUCCAAGAACUUUGUGUGUUCAUGCUGUUUAUCUGAGGGAUGAGGUUAAUGGUAUUGUAUUCAUCCUGUUGAUAGGAAGAACAAAGCAUAAUGAAGUUAGAUGAAAAUAAAUAAGCACAAAGCUAGACUAAUCUCUGAGUCUCAGGAAAGGAUUCUGGAACAGAUCUGAAAGGACAUUAGUGGCGAUUAUGCAAUAUCUUUUCUCUCUUACAGAAGUAGUUUUAACUCAUCAGGUAGGACUGUAUCUAUUCAUUGACAUUUCCUACAGAAGUCUACACAGACAUCCCAAGUCACAGGAGCAGUUUCCUAUGGAUUUGAUGUUCUGAGUCAUCUUUGAGUAACCACGCAUUUUGAGUUGUACUAGAAAAGAGUGAAUGAGGGAGGAAGUUGUCAGUUUUUGAGAGGGCAGAAAGCUCCUAGUCACUACUCAGGAGCAGAGAGAUCAUGUUAGUCUUACAGUUUAGGAUUAUCCAUUUGCAGUCUGCACCAGGCUAUUCGGUGUGCCAAAAUGUCUCAUCAGAAUUUUAGGAGUAGAAAUGGGAAUAAAGUCUAGGCCAACCAAAACAGUUCUUCAUAAGUGUGAGUCAAAUAUGUCUCCUUGAUUUUUGCAAGCCACUUAUUUUUCAACUGCUGUCUAGUCUGCUCAAGAACACUGCUACAGUGAUUAGAUAUCAAAAUGGCCCCAGCAUUACAGAAGAUGGUGCUGGUGUCAGUUCUCAUGGUGCUCUGAUGGCCAUCUUGUACAUGGUGAAUUUUCUACUCUGAAAGUAUUAUCUUUAUCGUGUACUGGAACU
This is a non-coding RNA of Meleagris gallopavo (turkey), 4841 nucleotides long. NCBI's taxonomy places the organism in Eukaryota, Metazoa, Chordata, Aves, Galliformes, Phasianidae. The record is from RefSeq and is a predicted model, not a curated record.